Molecule: ribosomal RNA, 467 nt
Filed under: uncultured bacterium
Lineage: Bacteria
Description: partial 16S ribosomal RNA
Rfam family: Bacterial small subunit ribosomal RNA
Source: RNAcentral
GACGAACGCUGGCGGCGUGCUUAACACAUGCAAGUCGAACGGAAAGGCCCUGCUUUUGUGGGGUGCUCGAGUGGCGAACGGGUGAGUAACACGUGAGUAACCUGCCCCUGACUUUGGGAUAACUUCAGGAAACUGGGGCUAAUACCGGAUAGGAGCUCCUGCUGCAUGGUGGGGGUUGGAAAGUUUCGGCGGUUGGGGAUGGACUCGCGGCUUAUCAGCUUGUUGGUGGGGUAGUGGCUUACCAAGGCUUUGACGGGUAGCCGGCCUGAGAGGGUGACCGGCCACAUUGGGACUGAGAUACGGCCCAGACUCCUACGGGAGGCAGCAGUGGGGAAUAUUGCACAAUGGGCGGAAGCCUGAUGCAGCAACGCCGCGUGCGGGAUGACGGCCUUCGGGUUGUAAACCGCUUUCGCCUGUGACGAAGCGUGAGGGACGGUAAUGGGUAAAGAAGCACCGGCUAACUACGU